ACAACAGAAGGACCGUCGGUCUACCGAGCAAUAUCACGCGCUCGGUGGAAGAUCUUUCCUUUCGUCGU
RNAcentral lists this microRNA precursor (68 nucleotides) under Bombyx mori (domestic silkworm). RNAcentral's name for it is "mir-2774 microRNA precursor family". It matches the Rfam family "mir-2774 microRNA precursor family". The record is from Rfam by way of RNAcentral. Lineage: Eukaryota; Metazoa; Arthropoda; Insecta; Lepidoptera; Bombycidae.